Molecule: long non-coding RNA, 392 nt
Organism: Gorilla gorilla gorilla (western lowland gorilla)
Lineage: Eukaryota; Metazoa; Chordata; Mammalia; Primates; Hominidae
Exons: 2
Source: RefSeq, a predicted model, not a curated record
UUGCCUUGGGAGACUGCACUAAGCAUUUCUAGCUACAUUUUGUUGUGGAUUCAAGAGAUUGGAUGGCAAUGCUGCUAUGGUUACCAGGGUUUUUGUCUCAGAAAUGGAAUAGACGCAGCCAGGGUUGAUGGGGCACAAAAUGCCAAGGAGACAUCUAGAGAAGAAACUGGUUCUGCCCAUAUGGCAGAGACAGAUUGUUCAACCCACCAGUACGUCAAGUGUGCUCUAACUCUCUACAGGCCGGUGCAGCAGUGUGUGUUCUCUAUAAGUUGUAUCUCUUAAUUCCAACACUGAGAUUAAGCAGAAUGGACCUGCAAGAAAAUCAUAUUUUGCUCUUUUUUCUUAUCCUGGAUUUUGUUCACAUUGCAGUAAAAAAUGUUUUUUAAAUGCUA